RNAcentral lists this long non-coding RNA (1679 nucleotides) under Homo sapiens (human). RNAcentral describes it as "HSALNT0301735". Lineage: Eukaryota; Metazoa; Chordata; Mammalia; Primates; Hominidae. The record is from RNAcentral.
GCAGACGUCCCUUCCCCAGCCAGGCUGCCACCUCGCAGUUCAAUCUCAGACUGCUGUGCUAGCAGUGGGGAAGGCUCCGUGGGCAUGGAAACUGCCGAGCCAGGCACAGUAGAGAAUCACCUUGUCUGCCGGUUGCUAAGACCUUUGGAAAAGUGCAGUAUUUGGGUGAGAGUGUCCUAUUUUUCCAGGUACAGUCUGUCACGUCUUCCCUUGGCUAGGAAAGGGAAAUCCCCCGACCCCUUACACUUUCCGGGUGAGGCAACGCCCCACUCUGCUUCAGCUCACCCUCCAUGGGCUGCACUCACCUUCCAACCAGUCUCAAUGAGAUGAACCAGGUACCUCAGUUGGAAAUGCAGAAAUCACCCGUCUUCUGCGUCAAUCACGCUGAGAACUGCAGACCAGAGCUGUUCCUAUUUGGCCAUCUUGGAACCGGUCUGAGUCUGUUUUAGCCAGAUCAAGUACUUGCAGACACUUGAAGAAGCAUCUUUCUUGUGAUCUCCUGGCUGGUACCCUGAAGUCCUGUUAUGCCAAUGGACCAGCAACCCUCGCAGGUAGGAAUUACUGCUAGAAAGACUAUCCUCUCUGCAGGCAAAUUUCUGGAAGGAUACUAUUUUAUGGGGAAAAAUGUGAACAACUGUAGGUAAUUUCACAGUCUGUAGGGCUUGUCUCCUAUUUGUAAUUUCUUACAUGUUUACUCGUGGUGGAAAUGUGGAGGUGGCUAAGGAACAAGCAGGCCCGCUGUGUUUCAGUGGCUUUCAGAGAAGGUGGCGGGAAAUAGUCUCUUCUCAGCAGCAGCUGAAUCCCAGUGUUAGCAGACGGAGCCUUGUUUCUUGAAAGUACAUUCCCAGGGAUUCCCUUGAAGAAUGUGAGAGAUCAGCUGGAAUGAAACUGGAUGUUUUAGGGUCCUGAGGGAAAUGUAAAUCCAGCAGCUUAUUCUCAAGAUGUGGCUCCAGAACCAGCAGCACUGAUUCUUCUAAAGAGUUGAGAGUGCAUUUUAGCUGUGAUAUCUUUGUACUCUUAAGAAAUCCUCCUCAACAAGACAAAACUUGACCAAGAGCAUUCAGUUGUCUUCCAGAAGGCUCCCUUGAGGACUGGGACUCUUCCUGGAUGCACCCAAUUAAUCUAUUGAAACAAGGACUCGUGAUGGCAGCCCCUCACCUGACAAACUGGAUUUUCCCCAGAGAUCAUUUGUAAUGUUUUUCCUGAAUCUUAUUUGUGUUUCCCUAUUAGCAAUGUUAUGUAUUUCUAUAUCGCAAAUCCUAAGUGCCGCCUGUAGAACCUAACCUCCAUUUAUAGCAUGGAACACACAGCCCAUCACGUAUCCUUGCCCUGGCCUUCAGCCUCUGAAUAUUUUAAUAAAAAUCACUCUUUCCUCCUUAAGGACCAUGUUCUUUAAAAGCUUAACACAUAGUUCUUAAUAAUUGGUUGCUUUACUUGAUGUUUCUCUGUUUAUCUUGGCUGCCCAGAAGCUCAGACUUAAAUGUAAGAGUCUACUUACAGUAACAACCUUGUUGCGGAUACAAUUAAUUCUCCCUAUCUUGUAUGUGGUUUCCGUUGUCUUUAUUUAUUAUCUUUAUUUAAACCUUUAAAAGAGUAUAGGAUAUCAAUUUAUGAAAAGAAAAAUAUUUUUUUUAGUUCAAUUGAAAUCCCUGUUUUGUACCACACUAUAUUUAAUGCCC